Molecule: long non-coding RNA, 829 nt
Organism: Eptesicus fuscus (big brown bat)
Lineage: Eukaryota; Metazoa; Chordata; Mammalia; Chiroptera; Vespertilionidae
Exons: 4
Source: RefSeq, a predicted model, not a curated record
UCUAGGACAUGCUUGAACGGUAAAACUAGUCAAUAUCUGAGGGUUUUACGUGAUCAAAGACACCUUAAAUAAGCACAACGGUAGGAAAUGUUCGUUGAUGAGGCGCUGUAGGAAGGCAGGUCAGAUGUGUUGCAGUUUUUACAAAUGGAAAGCAAGACCCUCCAGUGGAAAAGCAAGACCCUCCACCAACAGAAAGGUUAUUACCUGCUUUAUUUCGAUACUCACUGUGUUAAGAUGGUCUGGAUCCAGCCCCACAGUAUCUUCAAGCUCCUGGCCUCCCUAAUAGAAAUGCUGUAGGGGGACCCAGCACCCCGGAAUGUGGGCGGGCUGCUGUCCUAUGAUGAAACUGAGACCCAGAAGGAAAGAGACUCCCCCAAGACCAUCCAGCUAGGACUUGAACCCUGAAGAAAGGAGUCUUCAGAUAGAUGGAAUGGGAGAAUGACAGGCAGAGAAAGAGGAAGCAAACAUUGAGAGAGUGGGGAGCCAGCGAUGAGUGCUCCCCAGGGAAGGGGCAUCGGUAAGUCAUCUCUGAGCCCUCACAGAGUCCAACCAGCCAGUUGUCAAAUGUGUCAAACUCCUAUACAUUCUUCAGAACCCCAUCUCAUGUCUCCUUUUAUGUGCAACUUUCCUUGAUCCGUCCAGCCAGUGGAGCCUCGACUUCCCUUCCCGGUUCCUCCACCCCAGACCCCUUUUUCUGUACUGUACUUGUUCACAUGGGGCAGGGGACUUUGUGCCUGGCUCUGUCUUCCCAAGGAUGGGCAGGAGCUAAGGUCUCAUGGAAGCCAGGAUUGCCUCCAAGGAACUGGCCCAGAGGCCGUGUCAGGGAACU